CGGAGUUGACUCCAGUCGCCCCAGUGCUACGCUCCUUCCCACCCUUCAAAAUUACCUGGAAAACAAACAGGACAAAACAAAGAAGACAGAAGGAAGAGAGAAAACAAAAGAACUGUAGGAGCCAAAGAAGGCCUCUUUGGAGAAAAACCUGGAACCAUGAAGGCUGAUGACCUCAGCAGAAGAGACUCCAUUCCACAGCUGAUACUCGACAACUGCUUAAAACAACAGCUGAAUGGAGAUGGGAAAUGUCUAAUAUUCAACCACAUGCUAAUGAAAAAUAAUCUGUGGGUUAUAUUAGGAUGCUGAUUAUUUGAAA
Long non-coding RNA from Malaclemys terrapin pileata, 316 nucleotides. RefSeq lists it as uncharacterized. The record is from RefSeq and is a predicted model, not a curated record. Lineage: Eukaryota; Metazoa; Chordata; Testudines; Emydidae. The transcript has 3 exons.